This 253-nucleotide ribosomal RNA is filed under the name uncultured bacterium. Its description in RNAcentral is "partial 16S ribosomal RNA". It matches the Rfam family "Bacterial small subunit ribosomal RNA", at positions 524 to 776 of the family's 1533-position model. The record is from RNAcentral.
UACGGAGGAUGCAAGCGUUAUCCGGAAUCACUGGGCGUAAAGCGUCUGUAGGUGGUUUAAUAAGUCAACUGUUAAAUCUUGAGGCUCAACCUCAAAAUCGCAGUCGAAACUAUUAGGCUAGAGUAUAGUAGGGGUAAAGGGAAUUUCCAGUGGAGCGGUGAAAUGCGUAGAGAUUGGAAAGAACACCGAUGGCGAAGGCACUUUACUGGGCUAUUACUAACACUCAGAGACGAAAGCUAGGGUAGCAAAUGGG